UACGUAGGUGGCAAGCGUUGUCCGGAUUUACUGGGCGUAAAGCGUGCGCAGGCGGACAAGUAAGUAGGAAGUGAAAGGUUGGAGCUCAACUCCAACACUGCUCCCUAUACUGCUUGUCUUGAAUGUCGGAGAGGAAGAGGGAACGACACGUGUAGCGGUGAAAUGCGUUGAGAUGUGUCGGAACACCAAUGGGAAGACACUCUUCUGGACGAAUAUUGACGCUCAGGCACGAAAGCUAAGGUAGCAAACAGG
RNAcentral lists this ribosomal RNA (252 nucleotides) under uncultured bacterium. RNAcentral's name for it is "partial 16S ribosomal RNA". It matches the Rfam family "Bacterial small subunit ribosomal RNA", at positions 524 to 776 of the family's 1533-position model. The record is from RNAcentral.